GACGAACGCUGGCGGCGUGCUUAACACAUGCAAGUCGAACGGUAAGGCCCUUUCGGGGGUAGACGCGUGGCGAACGGGUGAGUAACACGCGGGUGAUCUUCCCUGCACUUUGGGUUAAGCCUGGGAAACUGGGUCUAAUACCGGAUAGGACUACGCGAUGCAUGUCUUGUGGUGGUAGGCUUUUGCGGGGUGGGAUGGGCCCGCGGCCUAUUAGCUUGUUGGUGGGGUGAUGGCCUACCAAGGCGACGACGGGUAGCCGGCCUGAGAGGGUGUCCGGCCACACUGGGACUGAGAUACGGCCCAGACUCCUACGGGAGGCAGCAGUGGGGAAUAUUGCACAAUGGGCGCAAGCCUGAUGCAGCGACGCCGCGUGGGGGAUGACGGCCUUCGGGUUGUAAACCGCUUUCAGCACAGACGAAGCGUAAGUGACGGUAUGUGCAGAAGAAGCACCGGCCAACUACGUG
RNAcentral lists this ribosomal RNA (464 nucleotides) under uncultured bacterium. RNAcentral describes it as "partial 16S ribosomal RNA". It matches the Rfam family "Bacterial small subunit ribosomal RNA", at positions 28 to 507 of the family's 1533-position model. The record is from RNAcentral.